GAUGAACGCUAGCGGCAGGCCUAAUACAUGCAAGUCAAGGGGAUAGCAAUAUCACCGGCGGACGGGUGCGUAACGCGUACACAGCGUGCCCAAGGGCGGAGGAAAGCGGCGGGAAACUGCCGGUAAUACUCCAUGGUGUUGUUGAGUGGCAUCACUUAACAACUAAAGUACAAGCGCCCUUGGAUCGGUGUGCGUUCGAUUAGCUAGUUGGCGGGGUAACGGCCCACCAAGGCUACGAUCGAUAGGGGGUGUGAGAGCAUGACCCCCCACACGGGUACUGAGACACGGACCCGACUCCUACGGGAGGCAGCAGUAAGGAAUAUUGGACAAUGGGCGAAAGCCUGAUCCAGCCAUGCCGCGUGAAGGACGAAGGCGCUCAGCGUUGUAAACUUCUUUUGGAUGGGAACAAUAACUCCGACUUGUCGGAACUUGAGGGUACCAUCAGAAUAAGCACCGGCUAACUCCGUG
This 468-nucleotide ribosomal RNA is filed under the name uncultured bacterium. RNAcentral's name for it is "bacterial SSU rRNA". It matches the Rfam family "Bacterial small subunit ribosomal RNA", at positions 28 to 507 of the family's 1533-position model. The record is from RNAcentral.